AGCGAACGCUGGCGGCAGGCUUAACACAUGCAAGUCGAGCGGGCACUUUCGGGUGUCAGCGGCGGACGGGUGAGUAACGCGUGGGAACGUGCCCUCUGGUUCGGAAUAACUCAGGGAAACUUGAGCUAAUACCGGAUACGCCCUUUUGGGGAAAGGCUUGCUGCCGGAGGAUCGGCCCGCGUCUGAUUAGCUAGUUGGUGUGGUAACGGCUCACCAAGGCGACGAUCAGUAGCUGGUCUGAGAGGAUGAUCAGCCACACUGGGACUGAGACACGGCCCAGACUCCUACGGGAGGCAGCAGUGGGGAAUAUUGGACAAUGGGCGCAAGCCUGAUCCAGCCAUGCCGCGUGAGUGAUGAAGGCCUUAGGGUUGUAAAGCUCUUUUAUCCGGGACGAUAAUGACGGUACCGGAGGAAUAAGCCCCGGCUAACUUCGUG
Molecule: ribosomal RNA, 435 nt
Filed under: uncultured bacterium
Lineage: Bacteria
Description: partial 16S ribosomal RNA
Rfam family: Bacterial small subunit ribosomal RNA
Source: RNAcentral